RNAcentral lists this ribosomal RNA (253 nucleotides) under uncultured bacterium. RNAcentral's name for it is "partial 16S ribosomal RNA". It matches the Rfam family "Bacterial small subunit ribosomal RNA", at positions 524 to 776 of the family's 1533-position model. The record is from RNAcentral.
UACGAAGGACCCGAGCGUUAUCCGGAUUUAUUGGGUUUAAAGGGUGCGUAGGCGGACUAGUAAGUCAGUGGUGAAAUCCCCAAGCUUAACUUGGGAACUGCCGUGGAUACUAUCAAUCUUGAAUAUCGUGGAGGUAAGCGGAAUAUGUCAUGUAGCGGUGAAAUGCUUAGAUAUGACAUAGAACACCAAUUGCGUAGGCAGCUUACUACACGAUCAUUGACGCUGAGGCACGAAAGCGUGGGGAGCAAACAGG